This 253-nucleotide ribosomal RNA is filed under the name uncultured bacterium. Its description in RNAcentral is "partial 16S ribosomal RNA". It matches the Rfam family "Bacterial small subunit ribosomal RNA", at positions 524 to 776 of the family's 1533-position model. The record is from RNAcentral.
UACGGGGGGGGCAGGCGUUGUUCGGAAUUACUGGGCGUAAAGGGCGCGUAGGCGGCCUGCUAAGUCGGACGUGAAAUCCCUCGGCUCAACCGGGGAACUGCGUCCGAUACUGGUGGGCUCGAAUCCGGGAGAGGGAUGUGGAAUUCCAGGUGUAGCGGUGAAAUGCGUAGAUAUCUGGAGGAACACCGGUGGCGAAGGCGGCAUCCUGGACCGGUAGUGACGCUGAUGCGCGAAAGCCAGGGGAGCAAACGGG